UGGGGGAUAUUGCACAAUGGGCGAAAGCCUGAUGCAGCGACGCCGCGUGGGGGAUGAAGGCUUUCGGGUUGUAAACCUCUUUCGCUAUCGAACAAGGCCCGCUUAGGGUGGGUUGAGGGUAGGUGGAGAAGAAGCGCCGGCUAACUACGUGCCAGCAGCCGCGGUAAUACGUAGGGCGCGAGCGUUGUCCGGAAUUAUUGGGCGUAAAGGGCUUGUAGGCGGCUUGUUGCGCCUGCUGUGAAAACGCGGGGCUUAACUUCGCGCGUGCAGUGGGUACGGGCAGGCUUGAGUGUGGUAGGGGUGACUGGAAUUCCAGGUGUAGCGGUGGAAUGCGCAGAUAUCUGGAGGAACACCGAUGGCGAAGGCAGGGCACUGGGCCAUUACUGACGCUGAGGAGCGAAAGCGUGGGUAGCGAACAGG
This 420-nucleotide ribosomal RNA is filed under the name bacterium. RNAcentral's name for it is "partial 16S ribosomal RNA". It matches the Rfam family "Bacterial small subunit ribosomal RNA", at positions 355 to 776 of the family's 1533-position model. The record is from RNAcentral.